AGGACGAACGCUGGCGGCGUGCUUAACACAUGCAAGUCGAGCGAGGCCCCUUCCUUCGGGAGGGGAGCCCUAGCGGCGAACGGGUGAGUAACACGUGGGCAAUCUGCCCCUAGCACUGGGAUAACUCCGGGAAAACCGGGGCUAAUACCGGAUAUGACCUCCGAGGGCAUCCUCUGGAGGUGGAAAGGAUUCUGGCUAGGGAUGAGCCCGCGGCCUAUCAGCUAGUUGGUGGGGUAAUGGCCCACCGAAGGCGACGACGGGUA
This 263-nucleotide ribosomal RNA is filed under the name uncultured bacterium. RNAcentral describes it as "partial small subunit ribosomal RNA". It matches the Rfam family "Bacterial small subunit ribosomal RNA", at positions 26 to 285 of the family's 1533-position model. The record is from RNAcentral.